Molecule: ribosomal RNA, 375 nt
Filed under: uncultured Glomeromycotina
Lineage: Eukaryota; Fungi; Glomeromycota
Description: LSU rRNA
Source: RNAcentral
UUGAAAGGGAAACGAUUGAAGUCAGUCGUACCAGCGGGAAAUCAACCUUUCGAGUGGGGGUUUUGGAGUUUUGAAGAGUGUCAAAACCUUUGAGAUUUCAAAAUUUUCGCUCUUUUGGUGUACUUUCUCGUGGGUAGGUUAACAUCGAUUUUGAUCAUCAUAAAAAGAUUGGAGGAAUGUAGCUUCGAUCUUGUAUUGAAGUGUUAUAGCCUUUGGUAAAUGUGAUGAUUAGGAUCGAGGAUUGCAACGAAUACCCUUUUGGGCUAUCCGCCUGAUCUCUGAUACGUGGCCUUGGUAUCGAAAGCGUGCUUAUGGUAUCAAGGUAUUACGGUCAAAAGGUUAGAACGGAUUACAUUCGUUAAGGAUGUUGACGUA